GGAUGUAGUUCAGUUUGGUAGAACGCUUGACUGGGGGUCAAGAGGUCGCAGGUUCAAGUCCUGUCAUU
This 68-nucleotide transfer RNA is filed under the name bovine gut metagenome. It matches the Rfam family "tRNA", at positions 5 to 66 of the family's 71-position model. Rfam says of the family: Transfer RNA (tRNA) molecules are approximately 80 nucleotides in length. Their secondary structure includes four short double-helical elements and three loops (D, anti-codon, and T loops). The record is from RNAcentral.